ACGAACGCUGGCGGCGUGCUUAACACAUGCAAGUCGAACGGAAAGGCCUUUUCGGAGGUACUCGAGUGGCGAACGGGUGAGUAACACGUGGGUGAUCUGCCCUGCACUCUGGGAUAAGCCUGGGAAACUGGGUCUAAUACCGGAUAGGACCGCACUUUAGUGUGUGUGGUGGAAAGUUUUUUCGGUGUAGGAUGAGCCCGCGGCCUAUCAGCUUGUUGGUGGGGUAAUGGCCUACCAAGGCGGCGACGGGUAGCCGGACUGAGAGGUUGGUCGGCCACAUUGGGACUGAGAUACGGCCCAGACUCCUACGGGAGGCAGCAGUGGGGAAUAUUGCACAAUGGGCGCAAGCCUGAUGCAGCGACGCUGCGUGGGGGAUGACGGCCUUCGGGUUGUAAACUCCUUUCGCCAGGGACGAAGCGUUUUGUGACAGUACCUGGAGAAGAAGCACCGGCUAACUACGUG
Molecule: ribosomal RNA, 462 nt
Filed under: uncultured bacterium
Lineage: Bacteria
Description: partial 16S ribosomal RNA
Rfam family: Bacterial small subunit ribosomal RNA
Source: RNAcentral